GCCGAAAUAGCUCAGUUGGUAGAGCAACGCAGUCGUAAUGCGUAGGUCGCCGGUUCGAGUCCGGCUUUCGGCU
Molecule: transfer RNA, 73 nt
Filed under: Bacteroidales bacterium
Lineage: Bacteria; Pseudomonadati; Bacteroidota; Bacteroidia; Bacteroidales
Description: tRNA-Thr
Rfam family: tRNA
About the family: Transfer RNA (tRNA) molecules are approximately 80 nucleotides in length. Their secondary structure includes four short double-helical elements and three loops (D, anti-codon, and T loops).
Source: RNAcentral